CAAAUAUUUGACUUUUCGUCUUAUUUAAAUUUUUUUGCGAUUAAUAUUUUUAUUAUUACUAGAUGAUAAAAUAUGAAUAGUACUUCAUGCGUGACUUUUUUUAAAAGAUUUUGAACUAAUUUUUCACAUAAAACGAAUGGUUAAACGUUAG
This 151-nucleotide microRNA precursor is filed under the name Oryza brachyantha (malo sina). Its description in RNAcentral is "MIR812 microRNA precursor family". It matches the Rfam family "MIR812 microRNA precursor family", at positions 28 to 178 of the family's 205-position model. Lineage: Eukaryota; Viridiplantae; Streptophyta; Magnoliopsida; Poales; Poaceae. The record is from Rfam by way of RNAcentral.